GGCAGCUUUUCCGGGGUGGCAGGCGGCACAGUUGGAGGUAACUAGGAUUUCUACCUCAACCGCGAGACCUAUGCAAGGACGGUGUGGACCAACUCGCGCCCGCGGCAUGGUGCCCGCCGGCCUGCCGGGCUCCCAUCCCUGGACGGCAGAGGCGAGGACGGACGGGAGCUCCACUGUGAAUCGGCGGCACGCGCCGCAGGAGGCUGGGACUGGUCCAGUUUAUACUGUCGAUAGUUUUAGAUAAAGUAUUUAUCAUUUUUUAAAAAGUAUAAACAAUUCUGACUUAUUUUAUUCCAUCUAAGUGGUAAAAGACAACUUAUUGAGAAAUAUAAAUAUCUAUAUAUGAGAGCUCUAUAUAAAGACACGUGUCUGCAGGGCGGGCCCGCCAGCGGAUUCGCCACAGCCUGCCCCGGUGCUAUCUCGUCCCCAGGCCCGCGCCUGCCUCCACCCGCUUGGUGCUGACUAGACGCUGACAACGCCGAACCCCGUUCUCGGAAACGCCGCCCGGCCGGCUCCCCCGACGCGCUGCUCCCGUACCAAAGGCAGGCCCGUCGCCACCACAUUCCUCGGAGGCCUCCCCGCGGCCUGAGCCCCUUCCUGAGCCCCUGGCGCCUGCCCUGAGCUCUUCACCUUUACCCCGGCACUGUGAACCCCCAGACUGUUCACCCUCCGGGGCGUGGGUUGCGCCCUUGCAUGUGAAGGGGCCUGCGUGGUGACGCAGCUGGCCGUGUGCUGCGCGAUGGUGCUGUGAGGACGGCGCAGGCACGUGGAACAAGUGCAUUUACUUUUGUAUUUCUCGGCUGUCCAUGGCUCGCAGCAUGCCCUGCGAUGCGGGGCAGGCCUGUCGUGGGUCCCUUGGUGUUUCUGUACAGGAGAGAGUCACACUAAUGAGUGGCAGUAUUUUAUAGAGAUGUGAUGAGAAUUUAUAAAUUUCAUAGAUUUGACAGCUUUUAUUUUUAGAUGGUAUAAUGCACAGUGAAGAGGAAAGAAAAGCGAGGGGAAAAAACCUUAUUUAUUCAAACAGUGCACAAAAUGGCCCCAGCGUCAGCCCCCACCCUAGACCCCUCAGUUGCAGCUCCCAGCAGCCCAGACGGAGCUGCCGGGGCCCCUGCCUGCCCCACAUCCCUUCCUGUCAGGGCCACGCCUGGCACCCAUCCCUUGGAGCCUGUGCUGGUUCUCCCAGCUGCUGUGGGUGUGCUGGGGCCAGGGUGCACUGCUGAAGCCUGGCCUCUCUGGCCCUAGGCCCCAGGGUGACGUUAGCCCCCCACUCUGCAGCCUUGGCGGGUGCCUGGGACUGGGUGUGGAAGGAGAGGAGCUGAGGCCGGGGUGUAGCAGGCAGGCAGGGCCACUCCAGUGCUUCUGGAGCCCUGAGCAGUCAGGGCCUGGGUUGUCUGAGCAGUGGUGGCUCUGUGCCCUCCCUGGAGGAUGGGAUCUGGGAGUCUGAGCUCCCCACAUCUGGCCCUGGGCUGUGUGGCACUUGCUGAGCCCACCUUCUCAAGUGCUUGCUCCUGUGAGAUGGCAUCGGGGAGCCCCUUCCCCAAGGUGCCACAGAUCCACCCUCCAGGGAGCUGCCAGCCCUGUGUUCUGGUUCCCAAGGGCAGGAUGGACACACGUCACAUCCCUACCAUGUGGCCUCCAAAGGGAGCCACGGAGGAAAGGCUUCUGUGGUUGCUAGGUGGGGGAGUCCUGUGUGGGAGGGCCUGGAAGACCCCUGCUUGUGCCUGGUGAGGGGGGUGCUGCCUCCCCCAGCCCCCAACAACCUCUCAGACCCCCACCCUCCAACAUAGCUGAGUUCUGAAGAUGGUGCUCCGGACCUGUCCUCUUAAGUGGUGCCCAGUGCCCUCCCCACCCCGCAUUGGUGCUCUCAGCUAGAAGGUGCUGUGCCUCUGCCUGAGCCCCAAGCCCCGAGCCUGGCCUUCAGGACAGGCAGCCUGCUCUGUGUCGCCACGGGCCGGAUAUGCCACAGGGUUGAUGGCAGAGACGGCAGAGUCCCUGGUCUAGAACAAGACACAUUCUUUAAACACUGUAUUACUUCUGCCUCCCUCUAGGGGACAGUGGCAGUCCGGGUGCCAUCACGGGUCCUGCAGAUGGCCAUGCAGGGCUCCUGCCCACGCAGGCCACCGUAUGUUCAGGGCACGCACUGGGUCUCAGAGCCACUGGCCCAGGCAGAAGUCUCCUUGAGCCCACUGGGUCAUAUGCGUGUCACCACAUGUGAACUAGUGUGGUGGCUGCCUGCGGACACCCUCCUGUUCUGAGCCCUGGGCCUGUGUUCUCAGACACUCCCAGACUGAGGGGUGGUGUGUGGCGGGUGGCAGGGUGGCUGUGGAGACUGGUGAUCUGGAGCCUGGUGCUGGCACCUGGCCUGAGUUUCCGUGGGCAGCUGGCGGGGACCUGUGCUGCUGCUGCUGACUGUGGGUGGGCGGGCGGCGCCUGGGAGUGGCUCUUGCUCAGGAAUUGAUAGGAACCCUAACGACUAGGACACCCCCUCCUCGGCCCAUGAGGCACGCACAGUGACUUAUUUAAGACUUCCCCCUUAAUUUAUCUGCCCCCAGGAUGCGUCAGUCUGUUCAGUGGUCAGCAGGCCCCCCACCCCCCGCCGACUGCCCUCGCCAUUGCGGUCAGACCCCCUCCCAACACAACACGCUGCUGGUCUGUGUCAGCCUUUGUAACGUGGGAGGCUCUGCCGUGUCUUCCGGGUGAACUGUAUUUGGAUUGCGCGCAUUGUCACGGUCCGCCCCUGGGCUGCGGGCGCCCCUUCCUCUGGGCACCCCUGCAUUCUGCAUCCCCACCUCUAGACGCUGUAAUAAACAGACGGUUUUCACUCGGACCUGGUGUGAAUGGCAGCCUUUCUUCCAGGUGGCAUGAGGCGUCUCCUGGCGGCCAGUGAGAGGCCCCGGCUAGUGUGUCAUCGCCGAAACGGGGAGUGGAGGGCCUAGGGGUGCUCCUAGCAGAAGCUCCGGGGGCUGACACCAGGACACCCUGGCCUUGGGGAGGCUUAUGAGGGCACCAGGCCACAGGCAAAGUGCCUUUUGAUGAACGGAAAACCAGAUCUGCGACCCCAAUGACAUCGGCAAAGUCCUUUUCACAUCAAAUGGACCAAAGCUGGCCCAGGCCCCAGCCACACUCCGGGAGGGCCCGUGAAUGCCAGAGGCAGGACCCCAGGUCACCACAGGAUUCCUGAUACCACACAGCAGCUCUGUUCUCCCCAGGCCUGGGUCCCAGCCUCCACCUGUCCUGGCUGGGGGUUCUAGCUCUCCCCUCAGUGCAGGAGGCCCAGCCACUGCCUCUCAGGACCCUGAGCCUUACUUCCCUUGGGUGGGGGCUCCCUGGUUGCCCCUCCCCUCUCCUUCACUUCACCGCCAUCCAGUGUGGAAAAGAGGUACCUUUAUUUGAACAGAACAAGCACCCCGGCCCCAGGGCAACCACUUCCCCAGGUGCACAGCCAGGGCCCUCCUGUCUGCAGGAGAAUUCACAGCUGGUGGGGGACUCAGCCCCUAUGCCAUUCACAGCUUUGUCUGGCUCUGUACAUUCAUUCAGCACGGGGCAGGGGGGCCAUGCCACCAGCCUGGGGGCUCACCAGGCCCCUGGAUGCACACAACUCAGGCGGGGCACCUGUGGGAAGGCGCAUAUCCUGGCGGCAGCAGCACGUGGCACCAGGUGCCAGGCCAGUUAGGUGGAUCCUGGGGCCCCAGGGAGCGCAGCUUGCUGGGCAGUUUCAUAAAAUGCAGCCCCUGCCCACACCCACCUGGCUUCAGGCUUUGGAUGUCUCCAAACCAAAAACCUCCCACUGAAGAUCCAGGUGUGAUGGCCGGGUGUGGCGGCUCAUGCCUGUGAUCCCCGCUACUUGGGAAGCUGAGGCAGGAGGAUCACUUGAGUCCAGAAGGUCAAGGUCACAGUGAGCUGUGGCACCACUGCACUCUAGCCUGGGCAACACAGUGAAACCCUGACCCAAAAACCAAAACAAAACAAAUCCAGGCAUGGCCAAGCGAUUCAUGGCUGGGCAGGGCCAGUCCCGUCCCGCUGCACGCUGACCACCGUGCCCUGCGCUCACGCCUGCAAGCCACUCAGCUGGAACCUGGCCUCCUCGGAUAUGCCGAACUGUUCCAGGGGGUCCUGUGGGGAGGACGGGUGGCCAUGAGCCAGGGCUGGAGGACUGCCUCUGCCACCUGCAGCCCCACCCCGGCCACCUGCAGCCCCACCCCGGCCCUCUGCAGCCCUGCACACACCUUGCCCGUCACCUUCCGGAUUUCAUUCCUAUAGAAGAUGAGGCUUCUCCGCAUGAACUCGUAGCUGGGGAAAAGGGUGGCACGGGGUCAAAUGCCUGCUCUGCAUGGCUGCUGUGCCCACCCCAGCAGUGCCCACCACCGCCUGGCCCCACCUGGCCCGACGCAGAGCCUCCAUCCACUCCUGACACUGCUCCUCGCUGCUGCACUCAAAGUGAUACUUCCUCUCAGGGUCCUCAAUGAAGCCUGGGGAUGGAACACCUGUGGUCGGUCCUACCCACAGCCACAAGCAGCUUCCUCUUGCCAUUGCCCAUAAACUGUCCCUUCUCUGGCCCCCACAAAGAUGUGUUCAUGUCCUGACCCCCAGAACCCAUGAGUAUGGCCCUGUAUAUAAACAGGGUCUUUGCAUAUAAACUAGUCAAAAUGAGGUUGUCGCCAGGUGCGGUGGCUCAUGCCUAUAAUCCCAGUGCUUUGAGAGGCCAAGGUGGGAGGAUUGCUUGAGCUCAGGAGUUCGAGACCAGCCUGGGUGACAUGGCAAAAUCCCCAUCUCUACAAAAACAAAAAUUAGCCAGGUGUGGUGGUGGGGCCUUGUAGGCCCAGCCACUCCGGAGUCAGAAGUGGGAGGACUGCUUGAGCCAAGGGGGUUGAGGCUGCAGUGAGCUGUGAUCACGCCACUGCACUCCAGCCUCGGAAACAAAAGAUCCUGUCUCAAAAAUAAAGAGGGCCGGGUACGGUGGCUCAAGACCGUAAUCCCAGCACUUUGGGAGGCCAAGGUGGGAGGAUCACCUGAGGUCAGGAGUUCGAGAGCAGCCUGGCCAACAUGGCGAAACCCCGUCUCUACUAAAAAUACAAAAAUUAGCUGGGCAUGGUGGCGCGUGCCUGUAGUACCAGCUACUCGGGAGGCUGAGGCAGGAGAAUCACUUGAACCCAAGAGGGGGAAGUUACAGGGAGCCGAGAUCGCACCACUGCACUCCAGCCUGGGCGACAUACCAAGACCCUGUCUCAAAAAAUAAGCAAAUAAAAUAAUAAAGUAAAGUAAAAAGGGGUUGUCAGGGUGGGCCCUAAAUUCUGCUUGGCGUCUGUGUGGAAGGGGAAAUGUGGGCACAGACGUGAUGCAAGGAGGACAAGGCGACGCUUCCACAAGCCAAGGAACCUGGAGGAUACUGGCCACCACUAGGAACUGGAAGAUUCCCCUCGGCCUCAGAAGGAUUCGGCCCCACCCACACCUUCAUC
RNAcentral lists this long non-coding RNA (5456 nucleotides) under Pan troglodytes (chimpanzee). RNAcentral describes it as "long non-coding RNA NONPTRT007900". Lineage: Eukaryota; Metazoa; Chordata; Mammalia; Primates; Hominidae. The record is from RNAcentral.